GACGAACGCUGGCGGCGUGCUUAACACAUGCAAGUCGAGCGGUAAGGCCCUUUCGGGGGUACGACGAGCGGCGAACGGGUGAGUAACACGUGGGUGACCUGCCCUCAGCUCUGGGAUAAGCCUGGGAAACCGGGUACUAAUACUGGAUAUGACUCCAUGACGCAUGUUGUGGGGUGGAAAGCCUUGUGCGGCUGAGGAUGGGCCCGCGGCCUAUCAGCUUGUUGGUGGGGUGAUGGCCUACCAAGGCGACGACGGGUAGCCGGCCUGAGAGGGC
This 274-nucleotide ribosomal RNA is filed under the name uncultured bacterium. RNAcentral describes it as "partial 16S ribosomal RNA". It matches the Rfam family "Bacterial small subunit ribosomal RNA", at positions 28 to 301 of the family's 1533-position model. The record is from RNAcentral.